Molecule: ribosomal RNA, 489 nt
Filed under: uncultured bacterium
Lineage: Bacteria
Description: partial 16S ribosomal RNA
Rfam family: Bacterial small subunit ribosomal RNA
Source: RNAcentral
GACGAACGCUGGCGGCGUGCUUAACACAUGCAAGUCGAACGGAAAGGCCCCCACCUUGGUGGGGGUGCUCGAGUGGCGAACGGGUGAGUAACACGUGGGUGAUCUGCCCUGUACUUCGGGAUAAGCUUGGGAAACUGGGUCUAAUACCGGAUAGGACCAUGGUUUAGUGUCUCAUGGUGGAAAAAUUAUUGUUUUGGUGCAGGAUGAGCUCGCGGCCUAUCAGCUUGUUGGUGGGGUAAUGGCCUACCAAGGCGUCGACGGGUAGCCGGCCUGAGAGGGUGGACGGCCACAUUGGGACUGAGAUACGGCCCAGACUCCUACGGGAGGCAGCAGUGGGGAAUAGUGCACAAUGGGCGCAAGCCUGAUGCAGCGACGCCGCGUGGGGGAUGACGGCCUUCGGGUGGUAAACUCCUUUCGUUAGGGACGAAGCCACACCUUUUUUGGGUGUGGUGACGGUACCUUUGUUAAGAAGCACCGGCUAACUACGUG